UGGAAAAGGCCUUUUUCCCCGGACGGUCCCCUGGAGCCUGACGGACGGGUGCAGGUCCUAAUGAAGUCUACCAAUCACUCCACCCAUUGAUGAUGGACAAAGACCAAGUCUACAGCACCAUAACACCCAACAAAAGGGAGGGACCGUCUACGUCCCCACUUUGAAGGAUCUCUGCAGCAGCAGCUAUUGCAUCAAUAUUAAAUGCCUGAGUGUUGAAAGAUAAAAUAAGUAUUUUGCAUUUGCUAAAUAAAGCGUGGGACAUACUUUCAUAAUUCCAUGUCAGCGGACAGCUUCACACUUGUACCAGUCGGUAUUUGGUUUUAUAUAAACUUCUUUGAAGACAAAUUGUGCACAGUCCUGGGUCUGCCUGUCAGGACACUCGUGGUCCAAUCACAGAGGGCGGAGGAAAGUCCCAGGUCUCUGAGCCCACUGACGAGCUUAGAGGCCACGAUGGUGCUGAUGUCAGCUGUCCUCAAUGAACAGCGUUCUGCCAUUUGUGUUCCUCCGGUCCAGGUGGAGGUCUGGGUGGAUGGUGAGAGCUUUGCUGGCGUCUGUGGAUGUGUUUGUCAUUCGGGCAGUGGGGUUUGCUCUUUUGGGGGACAGGGACUAUGGUGGUCUUUUUGGAGAAUGUGGGGGAAUACAGUGAAAUGUGUUGUGGAAUAUUUCAAUAAAAGCUCGGUAGAAGAGAAUGAUUUGUCUGAUAAAA
Molecule: non-coding RNA, 706 nt
Organism: Gasterosteus aculeatus aculeatus (three-spined stickleback)
Lineage: Eukaryota; Metazoa; Chordata; Actinopteri; Perciformes; Gasterosteidae
Source: RefSeq, a predicted model, not a curated record